GACGAGCUCGCGGCGGAUUAGCUUGUUGGUGGGGUAACGGCCCACCAAGGCGACGAUCCGUAGCUGGUCUGAGAGGACGAUCAGCCACACUGGGACUGAGACACGGCCCAGACUCCUACGGGAGGCAGCAGUAGGGAAUCUUGCGCAAUGGGCGAAAGCCUGACGCAGCGACGCCGCGUGAGGGAAGAAGGCCUUCGGGUUGUAAACCUCUUUCAGGAGGGACGAAGCCACUCGGGUUAAUAGCCCAGAGGGUGACGGUACCUCCAGAAGAAGCCCCGGCUAACUACGUGCCAGCAGCCGCGGUAAUACGUAGGGGGCAAGCGUUGUCCGGAUUUAUUGAGCGUAAAGAGCGUGUAGGCGGCCACACAGGUCAGCUGUGAAAACUCGAGGCUCAACCUCGAGACGUCGGUUGAAACCGUAUGGCUAGAGUCCGGAAGAGGAGAGUGGAAUUCCCGGUGUAGCGGUGAAAUGCGCAGAUAUCGGGAAGAACACCCGUGGCGAAGGCGGCUCUCUGGGACGGUACUGACGCUGAGACGCGAAAGCGUGGGGAGCGAACAGGAUUAGAUACCCUGGUAGUCCACGCCGUAAACGAUGGGUACUAGGUGU
RNAcentral lists this ribosomal RNA (606 nucleotides) under uncultured soil bacterium. RNAcentral describes it as "bacterial SSU rRNA". It matches the Rfam family "Bacterial small subunit ribosomal RNA", at positions 224 to 823 of the family's 1533-position model. The record is from RNAcentral.